UACGUAGGUGGCAAGCGUUGUCCGGAUUUACUGGGCGUAAAGCGCGUGUAGGCGGUCCGGUAAGUCGGUUGUGAAAGUCCAGGGCUCAACCCUGGGAUGCCGACCGAUACUGUCGGACUAGAGUUCGGAAGAGGCGAGUGGAAUUCCCGGUGUAGCGGUGAAAUGCGCAGAUAUCGGGAGGAACACCAAUGGCGAAGGCAGCUCGCUGGGACGUUACUGACGCUGAGACGCGAAAGCGUGGGGAGCAAACAGG
RNAcentral lists this ribosomal RNA (253 nucleotides) under uncultured bacterium. RNAcentral's name for it is "partial 16S ribosomal RNA". It matches the Rfam family "Bacterial small subunit ribosomal RNA", at positions 524 to 776 of the family's 1533-position model. The record is from RNAcentral.